This 64-nucleotide transfer RNA is filed under the name uncultured Balneola sp. It matches the Rfam family "tRNA", at positions 6 to 65 of the family's 71-position model. From Rfam's summary of the family: Transfer RNA (tRNA) molecules are approximately 80 nucleotides in length. Their secondary structure includes four short double-helical elements and three loops (D, anti-codon, and T loops). The record is from RNAcentral. Lineage: Bacteria; Pseudomonadati; Balneolota; Balneolia; Balneolales; Balneolaceae.
CUUAGCUCAGUUGGUUAGAGCGUUGCAUUGACAUUGCAGAGGUCGAUGGUUCGAAUCCGUCAGG